RNAcentral lists this ribosomal RNA (70 nucleotides) under Bacteriovorax sp. RNAcentral describes it as "partial 16S ribosomal RNA". It matches the Rfam family "Bacterial small subunit ribosomal RNA", at positions 1 to 73 of the family's 1533-position model. Lineage: Bacteria; Pseudomonadati; Bdellovibrionota; Bacteriovoracia; Bacteriovoracales; Bacteriovoracaceae. The record is from RNAcentral.
UUGGAGAGUUUGAUCCUGGCUCAGAACGAACGCUGGCGGCGUGCCUAACACAUGCAAGUCGAACGCGAAA